UACGAAGGGGGCUAGCGUUGUUCGGAAUUACUGGGCGUAAAGCGCGCGCAGGCGGUCUUCCAAGUCAGUGGUGAAAGCCCGGAGCUCAACUCCGGAACUGCCAUUGAAACUGUGAGACUUGAGGAUGAGAGAGGUGAGUGGAAUUCCCAGUGUAGAGGUGAAAUUCGUAGAUAUUGGGAAGAACACCGGUGGCGAAGGCGGCUCACUGGCUCAUUUCUGACGCUCAGGCGCGACAGCGUGGGGAUCAAACAGG
Molecule: ribosomal RNA, 253 nt
Filed under: uncultured bacterium
Lineage: Bacteria
Description: partial 16S ribosomal RNA
Rfam family: Bacterial small subunit ribosomal RNA
Source: RNAcentral